RNAcentral lists this ribosomal RNA (116 nucleotides) under Agalychnis callidryas (red-eyed leaf frog). Its description in RNAcentral is "partial 16S ribosomal RNA". The record is from RNAcentral. Lineage: Eukaryota; Metazoa; Chordata; Amphibia; Anura; Hylidae.
UCUCCAGUACGAAAGGACCGAGAAGACACGGUCUAUGUAUAAACAAACCGUAUUUAUAAACUUAUGUACAAAACUUAAUAAUCUAGUAAACUUUUAAGUAGCUUAAAACGAGAGCA